Molecule: ribosomal RNA, 151 nt
Filed under: uncultured crenarchaeote
Lineage: Archaea; Thermoproteati; Thermoproteota
Description: partial 16S ribosomal RNA
Rfam family: Archaeal small subunit ribosomal RNA
Source: RNAcentral
CCCUACGGGGCGCACCAGGCGCGAAACCUCUGCAAUAGGCGAAAGCUUGACAGGGUUACUCUGAGUGAUGCCCGCUAAGGGCAUCUUUUGGCACCUCUAAAAAUGGUGCAGAAUAAGGGGUGGGCAAGUCUGGUGUCAGCAGCCGCGGUAA